Danio rerio (zebrafish) is the source of this 122-nucleotide ribosomal RNA. NCBI's taxonomy places the organism in Eukaryota, Metazoa, Chordata, Actinopteri, Cypriniformes, Danionidae. The record is from Ensembl.
CAGCCAUAUCACCCUGCAGCCCAAGACCGGCUGCCAAGACCGGCAGCCCUGAAGCUAAGCAGGGCUGAGUCUGGUCAGUACCUGAAUGGGAGACCACAUGGAAAGCUAGGUUGCUGAUAAAA